GGCCGCCUGGCGAAAUGGCAUCGCGUCUGACUACGAUGUUGUGUAAUCAGGAGAUUGCAGGUUCGACCCCUGCGGUGGUCA
RNAcentral lists this transfer RNA (81 nucleotides) under Termitomyces sp. T159_Od127. RNAcentral's name for it is "tRNA-Arg". It matches the Rfam family "tRNA". From Rfam's summary of the family: Transfer RNA (tRNA) molecules are approximately 80 nucleotides in length. Their secondary structure includes four short double-helical elements and three loops (D, anti-codon, and T loops). The record is from RNAcentral. Lineage: Eukaryota; Fungi; Basidiomycota; Agaricomycetes; Agaricales; Lyophyllaceae.